GACAUCCUUGUCUUGGGGAGCAUAGUGCGCAGUGAUCGUAAAGUGAGAGCACUGAUGCUGACACCCAAAUGUUAUUUUUAAUAACAAAACCCGCGUCCGGCUGCCGUUAGGGAGUCCGAACGCAAUUUUUGAUAAA
Papilio xuthus (Asian swallowtail) is the source of this 136-nucleotide non-coding RNA. Lineage: Eukaryota; Metazoa; Arthropoda; Insecta; Lepidoptera; Papilionidae. The record is from Rfam.